GUGGCAGCCGCCGCGGUAAUACGGGGGGGACAAGCGUUGUUCGGAUUCACUGGGCGUAAAGGGCGCGUAGGCAGGCUUUCAAGUCGGAUGUGAAACCUGUCGGCUUAACCGACAGCCUGCAUCCGAUACUGUUGGUCUUGAGUACGGAAGAGGAGAGCGGAAUUCCAGGUGUAGCGGUGAAAUGCGUAGAUAUCUGGAAGAACACCAGUAGCGAAGGCGGCUCUCUGGCUCGAUACUGACGCUGAGGUGCGAAAGUGUGGGGAGCAAACAGGAUUAGAUACCCUGGUAGUCCACACCGUAA
Molecule: ribosomal RNA, 301 nt
Filed under: uncultured bacterium
Lineage: Bacteria
Description: bacterial SSU rRNA
Rfam family: Bacterial small subunit ribosomal RNA
Source: RNAcentral